CUCGUCUGAGCCUGCUCCUUUUCCUGCUUACAUGACACUUCCUUACAGGAGCAGAUGAAGACAGCUUCCCAAGCCUCACGGGAGAUGCAGCUGUCGGGGGAAGAGGACUGCAGCACCACUGACAGGGGCACCUUCUGCUCAUUAAUCAUACAGGUAUUGGUCUUGCCUAAUCCAAUUCCCUUCGAGUCUAUUGAGCAGGCAACUACCAAAUGUUUCUGAAACUGUAAAAAGGCAUGCACAGCCAAAUCCACUUAGCAGAGCUAAGAACACAAAUCUAUUGUGCUACACAACCUGCAACUUCCAACGCACUUUAGAAGAACGGAUUAUUACUGCCUGCUGUUUUUUUGCUUUUAAGCCAACCAUGCAACUGAGCCUUGGUAUUUCAAGUCAUAACAGAAACAAUGAGUGCGAGCAGUCAGUUUUGAAACAGCUGCAGCACUGUUGGUUUCUUUUGGGGGGAUGGGGAGGUAAAGAGCUUCUGAAGAGAAGUUACAGGCACU
This 500-nucleotide long non-coding RNA is filed under the name Gallus gallus (chicken). RNAcentral's name for it is "long non-coding RNA NONGGAT005141". Lineage: Eukaryota; Metazoa; Chordata; Aves; Galliformes; Phasianidae. The record is from RNAcentral.